ACGACCUCAACUCAGGCAAGAUUACCCGCUGAACUUAAGCAUAUCAGUAAGCGGAGGAAAAGAAAACAACUGUGAUUCCCUUAGUAACUGCGAGUGAAGCGGGAAAAGCCCAUCGUUUAAUCUUCCUGGACUGUGGACAGGACGACGUGUAACGGUAUGGAUAGGUGUACUACUGAUAAUGUCUGAUCAAAGUCCUCCGGAUUGAGGUGCCAAAGAGGGUGACAGCCCCGUAUGUGGUCAGAUGGAAUUGGGUAUGUAACCAAGUCCUAGAGUCGGGUUGUUUGGGAUUGCAACCUAAAGUAGGUGGUAAACUCCACCCAAGGCUAAAUAUAGACACGAAACCGAUAGCGAACAAGUACUGUGAGGGAAAGUUGAAAAGAACUCUGAAAAGAGAGUUAAAAGUACGUGAAACCGCUAACGGGGAAGCGGAAGGCAGUGUCGUGAUCUUGUGAGUGAGUUAUGAUAGGUGUGCCUAUUAUGACUAGCUUUACUUGAUGCGUCAGAUCUAUUGGUGCUACAUAUAAUACAAUUGUUCGCAUAGCUUUUACGACACCUGAAUUUUAUAUUUGGGCUUGUGAUUGUAGUGGAUAAUCAAUUAUAUGCACUGAUAUGUGUUGUGGUGUGGCGUUGGUGAUAUUUAUAUAUGGUCGGUUGGUGCUAUGUGAUACUAUAUGCUGGUUACAUUGUGACUACGUGUGUAGAUAUGUUAUGUGUGUGAUUCAACAACCAAUGCCAGUAUCUGACGAGAUACCUAACCUUCCGACCCGUCUUGAAACACGGACCAAGGAGGCAGAAUCUAGAGCGAGUUGGAGGGUGUAAAACCCGACGGCGUAGUGAAAGCAAGAGAUGAGAUCUACUGGUUUCGACUAGUGGCGCAUCAUCGGCCGGUCAUAAUUAAUGUGAUUGAGUUUGAGCUCUAGAUGCUGAACCCGAAAGAUGGUGAACUAUGCGUGAGCAGGGUGAAGCCAGAGGAAACUCUGGUGGAGGCUCGAAGCGAUUCUGACGUGCAAAUCGAUCGUUUGACUUGCGUAUAGGGGCGAUAGACUAAUCGAACCAUCUAGUAGCUGGUUCCCUUCGAAAUAUCCCUCAGGAUCGCUGAGACAAGUGAAAGACAGUUUCAUCGGGUAGAGCGAAUGAUUAGAGGAAUCGGGGAUAUAUUACUCUCGACCUAUUCUCAAACUAUCAAUCGGUGAUAGAUAUUGUUUUCUUGUGUGAAAUGAUAUGUGUAUAUGAAUGUCUUUGUCUCAAGUGGGCCAUUUUUGGUAAGCAGAACUGGCGAUGCGGGAUGAACCGAGAGUUGAGCUAAGGUGCCUAAGAACACGUUGAUAGAUACCACAAAAGGAGUCGGUCGAUAAAGACAGCAGGGCGGUGGCCCUGAAAGUAGGAAUCCGCUAAGGAGUGUCUAACAACUCACCUGCCGAAUCGACCGGCCCUGAAAAUGGAUGGCGCUGAAGCGUGUCACCGAUGCUCGACCUUUACUACGAGAAAUGAUGGUAAAGGGUAGAAGGGCGCAGCGGUAGCGAUAAAGUACAAAGUGUAAACUUGUGUGGAGCUGCCGUUGGUGUAGAUCUUGGUGGUAGUAGCAAUUAUAAAAGUGAGUAAAAACCUUUUAGGCCGAAGUGGAGAAGGGUUCCACGUGAACAGCAGUUGGACGUGGGUUAGUCGGUCCUAAGCGGUUGCCUAACGGCUAUUUCAAUGCUGACUUAUCAGUUGUAUGUGUGUGUGUAAUGUAUAUGUGUGCAAUGUUUGAAAUAGGUCAGAUUUCCGCGAAAGGGAAUCAGGUUAAUAUUCCUGAACCGGGCGAUGGAGACGCAGUUUUCUAAUGUUGUUAUUGGUCUCAUUAACGUGGGAUGGUGAUGAUGUUGCGAGUUGCUUAGCGGUAACGCAAACAAUCUCGGAGACGUUGAUAUCUGUGGCGGGGAGAAUUAUCUUUUCUGUAUAACAGGUAAACUACCUUGGAAUCGAGUCAUUCGGAGAUAAGGUAAAAAGCCUGGAAGAGCAUCGCAACUAUUGCAAUGUCCGCAUUAUAGGUGUCGACCCUUGAAAAUCCGAGGGAGUGGAUAAAUUUCACGCUCGUCCGUACCGAAUCCGCAUCAGGUCUCCUAGGUGUGCAGCCUCUGGCACUGGAACAAUGUAGGUAAGGGAAGUCGGCAAAAUAGAUCCGUAACUUUGGGAAAAGGAUUGGCUCUAAGGACCGGGCCAAUCGAGCUAGUGUUGCCUAGGUUAGUGGGGGUUGAACGGGACUUGUUUUGUGCCUGUGUAACAAUGGGUAUAGAGUGAGUUUGGUGAAACACACGCUGGCCCUGGAAUACCUGUGUGAAUUUGUGUUGGUUGAUUGUCUGUGUAUGUGUUUUGUAUGAAAUGUGUGGAUAGUUGUAUCAAUCGAUGGGAUUCUUUACGAGUGGCGAGCAUCGGUCAACUUAGAACUGUUACUAACAUGGGGAAUCCGACUGUUUAAUUAAAACAAAGCAUUGCGAUGGCCGGAAACGGUGUUGACGCAAUGUGAUUU
RNAcentral lists this ribosomal RNA (2509 nucleotides) under Kudoa musculoliquefaciens. RNAcentral's name for it is "eukaryotic LSU rRNA". It matches the Rfam family "Eukaryotic large subunit ribosomal RNA", at positions 1 to 2197 of the family's 3401-position model. Lineage: Eukaryota; Metazoa; Cnidaria; Myxozoa; Multivalvulida; Kudoidae. The record is from RNAcentral.